This is a non-coding RNA of Chaetomidium leptoderma, 87 nucleotides long. The record is from the annotation of a GenBank genome assembly. Lineage: Eukaryota; Fungi; Ascomycota; Sordariomycetes; Sordariales; Chaetomiaceae.
GCCCGCGUGGCGCAAUUGGUUUAGCGCGUCAGACUUUUAGAAAAUCUGGGAAUCUGAAUGUUGCGAGUUCGAGUCUCGCCGGGGGCG